AUUGAACGCUGGCGGCAGGCCUAACACAUGCAAGUCGAACGGUAACAGGAAACAGCUUGCUGUUUCGCUGACGAGUGGCGGACGGGUGAGUAAUGUCUGGGAAACUGCCUGAUGGAGGGGGAUAACUACUGGAAACGGUAACUAAUACCGCAUAACGUCGCAAGACCAAAGAGGGGGACCCUCGGGCCUCUUGCCAUCGGAUGUGCCCAGAUGGGAUUAGCUUGUUGGUGGGGUAACGGCUCACCAAGGCGACGAUCCCUAGCUGGUCUGAGAGGAUGACCAGCCACACUGGAACUGAGACACGGUCCAGACUCCUACGGGAGGCAGCAGUGGGGAAUAUUGCACAAUGGGCGCAAGCCUGAUGCAGCCAUGCCGCGGGUAUGAAGAAGGCCUUCGGGUUGUAAAGUACUUUCAGCGGGGAGGAAGGGAGUAAAGUUAAUACCUUUGAUCAUUGACGUUACCCGCAGAAGAAGCACCGGCUAACUCCGU
Molecule: ribosomal RNA, 489 nt
Filed under: uncultured bacterium
Lineage: Bacteria
Description: partial 16S ribosomal RNA
Rfam family: Bacterial small subunit ribosomal RNA
Source: RNAcentral